GGUCAGAUGGCCGAGCGGUCUAAGGCGCUAGCUUCAGGAUGGUCUUCGGAUCAGAUGACAUGCUAGUCAUGAAAAUGGCGUGGGUUCGAAUCCCACUCUGAUCA
Molecule: transfer RNA, 104 nt
Rfam family: tRNA
About the family: Transfer RNA (tRNA) molecules are approximately 80 nucleotides in length.
Source: Rfam